Molecule: unclassified non-coding RNA, 354 nt
Filed under: soil metagenome
Description: partial contains 5.8S ribosomal RNA, internal transcribed spacer 2, and large subunit ribosomal RNA
Rfam family: 5.8S ribosomal RNA (bases 1-120)
Source: RNAcentral
GAUGAAGAACGCAGCGAAAUGCGAUAAGUAAUGUGAAUUGCAGAAUUCCGUGAAUCAUCGAAUCUUUGAACGCACAUUGCGCCCCCUGGCAUUCCGGGGGGCAUGCCUGUCCGAGCGUCAUUUCUGCCCUCCAGCCCGGCUGGGUGUUGGGCGCUGUCCCCCCGGGGACACGCCCCAAAGGCAGUGGCGGCGCCGCGUCGGGUCCUCGAGCGUAUGGGGCUUUGUCACCCGCUCGGGACGGACUCGUCGGCGCUGGUCUUCCUCCAGGCGACGCUUCGGGGCUCGUCUUCCUUCGGUUGACCUCGGAUCAGGUAGGGUUACCCGCUGAACUUAAGCAUAUCAAUAAGCGGAGGA